GCCAAGUGGAUCAAGGCAGUGGAUUGUGAAU
RNAcentral lists this transfer RNA (31 nucleotides) under Leucaena greggii. Its description in RNAcentral is "partial tRNA-His". The record is from RNAcentral. RNAcentral also lists the same sequence under 24 other names. Lineage: Eukaryota; Viridiplantae; Streptophyta; Magnoliopsida; Fabales; Fabaceae.